This 500-nucleotide ribosomal RNA is filed under the name uncultured bacterium. Its description in RNAcentral is "bacterial SSU rRNA". It matches the Rfam family "Bacterial small subunit ribosomal RNA", at positions 30 to 518 of the family's 1533-position model. The record is from RNAcentral.
UUAACGCUGGCGGCAUGCCUAAUACAUAGCAAGUCGAACGAGAGUAGCAAUACUCUAGUGGGCGAACGGGUGAGUAACACGUAGGCAAUCUACCCAUUAGACGAGGAUAACUAUUGGAAACGAUAGCUAAAACUGGAUAGGAUAUAGCGAGGCAUCUUGUAAUAUUUAAAGGGUCCUGAAAGGGAACACUAAUGGAUGAGCCUGCGGUGCAUUAGCUAGUUGGUGAGGUAACGGCCCACCAAGGCGACGAUGCAUAGCUGUGCUGAGAGGCAAAACAGCCACAUUGGGACUGAGACACGGCCCAGACUCCUACGGGAGGCAGCAGUAGGGAAUUUUCGGCAAGUGGGGGAAACCCUGACCGAGCAAUGCCGCGUGAAUGAAAAGAAGUUCUUCGGAAUGUAAAAUUCUGUUAUUCGUGAAAGAAAGAUAUUAAUAGGAAAUGAUUAGUAUUUGACGGUACCGAAUGAGAAAGCCCCGGCUAACUAUGUGCCAGCAGCGGC